Molecule: ribosomal RNA, 427 nt
Filed under: uncultured bacterium
Lineage: Bacteria
Description: partial 16S ribosomal RNA
Rfam family: Bacterial small subunit ribosomal RNA
Source: RNAcentral
UGGGGAAUAUUGGACAAUGGGCGAAAGCCUGAUCCAGCCAUGCCGCGUGUGUGAAGAAGGUCUUCGGAUUGUAAAGCACUUUAAGUUGGGAGGAAGGGCAUUAACCUAAUACGUUAGUGUUUUGACGUUACCGACAGAAUAAGAACCGGCUAACUCUGUGCCAGCAGCCGCGGUAAUACAGAGGGUGCAAGCGUUAAUCGGAAUUACUGGGCGUAAAGCGCGCGUAGGUGGUUUGUUAAGUUGGAUGUGAAAGCCCCGGGCUCAACCUGGGAACUGCAUCCAAAACUGGCAAGCUAGAGUACGGUAGAGGGUGGUGGAAUUUCCUGUGUAGCGGUGAAAUGCGUAGAUAUAGGAAGGAACACCAGUGGCGAAGGCGACCACCUGGACUGAUACUGACACUGAGGUGCGAAAGCGUGGGGAGCAAACA